CACGUAGGGACCGAGCGUUGUCCGGAUUUAUUGGGCGUAAAGAGCUCGUAGGCGGUUCGGUAAGUCGGGUGUGAAAGCUCCAGGCUCAACUUGGAGAGGCCACCCGAUACUGCCGUGACUUGAGUCCGGUAGGGGAGUGGGGAAUUCCUGGUGUAGCGGUGAAAUGCGCAGAUAUCAGGAGGAACACCGGUGGCGAAGGCGCCACUCUGGGCCGGCACUGACGCUGAGGAGCGAAAGCGUGGGUAGCAAA
This 250-nucleotide ribosomal RNA is filed under the name uncultured bacterium. Its description in RNAcentral is "partial 16S ribosomal RNA". It matches the Rfam family "Bacterial small subunit ribosomal RNA", at positions 524 to 772 of the family's 1533-position model. The record is from RNAcentral.